UAAUUCCAGUGUUUUCCAACAAUUCAAACAAUCAAUCUAUACCGAUUCAACAACAACAACGUCAACAACCGCAACAAAGAACCAACAACAACAACAACAAUAAUCAACAACAAAGUUUUGAGAGGAAGAAGGUCUCCUUUGACCCUAUUCAUAUACCUACGCAGAAUUAUAUCCAUCUUUGGUUCUCAAGAACCUAAUUCAACCUAGAAAUCCAC
This 215-nucleotide long non-coding RNA is filed under the name Lathyrus oleraceus (garden pea). RNAcentral describes it as "Pisum sativum (pea) long non-coding RNA (PSAT_LNC035213)". The record is from RNAcentral. Lineage: Eukaryota; Viridiplantae; Streptophyta; Magnoliopsida; Fabales; Fabaceae.